Molecule: ribosomal RNA, 253 nt
Filed under: uncultured prokaryote
Description: partial 16S ribosomal RNA
Rfam family: Bacterial small subunit ribosomal RNA
Source: RNAcentral
ACGGGGGGUGCGAGCGUUGUCCGGAAUCACUGGGCGUAAAGGGCGCGUAGGUGGUUUGAUAAGGGUGUGGUGAAAGUCCGGGGCUCAACCCCGGAUCUGCCGUGCCGACUGUCAAACUCGAGGGCUGUAGAGGCAGACGGAAUUCCGGGUGUAGCGGUGGAAUGCGUAGAGAUCCGGAGGAAGACCGGUGGCGAAGGCGGUCUGCUGGGCAGUUUCUGACACUGAUGCGCGACAGCGUGGGGAGCAAACAGGA